RNAcentral lists this long non-coding RNA (2532 nucleotides) under Mus musculus (house mouse). RNAcentral's name for it is "long non-coding RNA chr2:83794299-83796831". Lineage: Eukaryota; Metazoa; Chordata; Mammalia; Rodentia; Muridae. The record is from RNAcentral.
UUGAAAAUCCAGAGGUAUGAAAACACUCCAUUAGGAUAAAAUAACUAUUUUAUUUUAUAAAUAUAUUACAUACCCCCUUUAAAGAUGGAAUAAUGUAGAUUAAGCCUUCAGUACUGCAUUAUAGGAUUUUUCACAAAUUUAUUUGUUUUAAUUUUUAAAUGUACAAUGGUAUUUUGCCUGCAUGUAUAUUUGCAUGAAGGUGUCGGAUCCUCUGGAACAGGAGCUAUAGACAGUUGGGAGUUACCACGUGUAAAUGCCAUGUGGGUGCUGGAAAUGGAACCCGCUCCUCUAGAAGACCAGCCAGUGCUGUUAACUCCUGAGCCACCUCUCCAUGCCUGCAUUAUAGAAUUAUUAAAUCAAUAUUUUAGUUAUACAAAUGAUUUUGAUGUCAAUUUGACAUUAUAAAACAAAGCUAAACAUUAGGAAAUACAGCUUUUCUCCAUCUUUGAAUUAAUGGUAAUUAAGAUAAUUGGUUGAUCGGUAGGGCUUCAGUUUCUAUUUUGCUUUGAAUUGUUUAGUUUUAGUUCCCCUGAGUUCUCGUUUUCAUAGCUUUGAUGAUAAAUGUGCCCAAUCCAGCCCUGAACAUGUUUCUAUCUUUCUUGUUUUCUUCACUUUUCAGCUCUAAUUCUUUUGACAAUGUAAGUCCAGUUGUGUCUUACAAGGUUGACCUCGCCGUUUUGGCUGCUGUGGAGAUAAGAGGGUAAGUGUGCAUUUCAAGCUGAGUAUCUCGUUGUUGUUGUUGUGCUUGCUUCUGAAAUGUGGCUGCGGGACUUUCUGCAGGCAGCCACCCUGCCACCCCAGCUUAGUGCUGCUUUACCAAGGCAGUGGACGAUGUAGAGAUAAGGCCCUGACUGUUCUUCGAGUCCCAAGUAUCUUUCUGGUGGUCUUUCGAAAAGGCAUGGUAGCAGCAAUCUUAAAGAAGUUGAUUGAACCUUCACAACACUUGCUUACUAGUUCAUCUGUUGCAUGCUGAUUUAGCAACGGUGGCUUUUAUGCAUAUGGUCAUCUGUAAGCUUUUCCUUUAUGCCUUUUUAAAAUUAGCUCUGAUUUUAUUUAGCUGAAUAUAGGAUAUUUAGGAAAAUGAACUGAUUACACUGUUUGAUAUUCAUGGUAGUUUUUUUUUGUUUGUCAUUGUUUAGAGUUUCAAGUCCAGAUCAUAUCUUUCUUCCAAUUCCAAAUUGGGAGUACAAGGAAAACCCUGAGACUGAAGAAGACGUUGGGCCUAUUGUUCAGCACAUAUAUGAGGUUUGCAGUCAUUGGACCUAAUAGAAAGCUAGUGAAGGGGUCAAUGGGGAAAGCAACUAAACCUUUUAAAACCAAUUCUAUUUCAUCUUUAUUUGCAAUUUGCAUAGUGUAAACAUGUACCAGAAGUACUAUUUGUAAGUUCAUUUUUAUAGACAAAUACCUAUAUUUGUUUAAUGAACAUAAAAUCAACUCUUGAGUAAAAGAGAUAGCUCUGUGUGUGCCCCAUGAAAUUUUGAAGUUCUGACUAAAAAACUGGAAAUGCCUGUAAUUAUGCAAAGUUUUAUUGCUUCUACGAAGGUUAUUAAGUCAGCAUUCAGUAACUCUUUAACAGCUUUCUAUACACUUUCAUCCUCGUAGAUCUUCCUGUUGAGAGAUAAGCAUCUGUUUGGCCUGUGUGUACAGUGGUCAUGCUUGAAGUCUAUCAGUAGCAACUGCUGCUCUUCAGAUCCCGUUUUGGAUAGGAUUUCUAGUGCUAACAUUGUAGAAGAAUUGUAGAACUAAUUAUGGUCCAAGGUGCUUACGUUUUUCUUUUCCUUAUUAGCUGAGAAACAAUGGUCCAAGUUCAUUCAGCAAGGCAAUUCUAAAUCUCCAGUGGCCUUACAAAUACAACAACAACACUCUGUUGUACAUUCUUCAUUACGACAUUGACGGGCCAAUGAACUGCACGGCAGAUACAGAGAUCAACCCUUUGAGAAUCAAGGUACUGUGCUUUAAGUAGCUCUUUAUUAUCAUAACUUUUAUUUCUUCCUAAACAUAUAAAUGAAACUUAAAAUAAAACAACUAUUUUGAUGUGUGAACUCUGCAAGAAGUUUUUGAGUUCACAACCAAUACACUAAUAAUUAGCCCAUUUAUGCAAUAGGUAAGAAAUCUGUGAAAUUCUUGAGGACCUUAUGUUUAUGAGUGGUCAAUAAACCUCAGGAGAUAUUCCUGACCAUGGCCCAUUGCAAUAUCAGUUUGUCAAAUGUAUAACACUCUAUUUAAAGCUAUUCUAUUGUUGAAAUUUCUGUUUUUAGAGUAAGAUGUACUAUUUUACUUGUGACUUGAUUUACAGAGUCUAGGGAAGUGCCAUUUUAUAGGACUUUAUAUACUUUUGGUGAUAGUGAUCUUUGUUCUAGAGUAUAUAUUUAUCUAAAAAUAUUACAUCAGUCUGGGCAGUGAUGACAGAUGCCUUUAAUCCCAGCAUUCAGAAGGCAGCUGCAGGUGGAUCUCUGAAUUUGAAGCCAGCCUGGUCUACAAGUUACAGGACAGCCAAGGCUACACAUGAAACCCUGUCUCAAAAAAAACAAC